CUAUAGUCCAGCUAAUGAAACUGAUGAUAUUUUUCAGACUGCAGACAGAUUCUGAUGAGGACAUAAGAAGAGCAGAACAGUUUGUCAAAGAUACUUUACACUUAAACCAUCUGCGUCUCUGCUGAAAGGAGCCCAACCUUGGGUCAGAUUCUGAUCUUGAAUAAACUCCAGCACCACUUCACAGUUAAUGAUGAGGACUCCUCCUUCACAAACACCAUCAAGGACACUGUCUGGAAUGACCUCUCAAGAAGAUACCAGGAUGGCAACAUCAGGCAGUUCUUGGAGGAGCCCACAGCCCUGGAUCCCAGAUUCAAGUCAGAAGAGGCAGAUGAAAUGUGGACCAGAUUGGAGGAGGAGCUGAUGAAAAGGACCUCAGUACUGGUGUUAAUUGUUAUUGGGGAUCUUCUACUUCUCUUGAAUUGUAGAUCAAUAUAUAUGACCCUCAUACUCUAUUGAAUACAGACUCGGGGUGAGCAGAUAGAGAGCAGGUGACCAUGAUGACAGCUCAUCUGAUGAAGACAGUAACAACACUGCUCACAGAAGAGGCCAAAGCUGUCUGUCCUUGAGGAGCUGUUUGCUGUGGAGGACAUGGCAGCUGAAGCAAGAAGACAGAUCACUGUUAGCAGCACCACAGAGAAGAUUCAGACAGAGAUAAAGCAC
Long non-coding RNA from Cyprinus carpio (common carp), 660 nucleotides. RefSeq lists it as uncharacterized. The transcript has 3 exons. NCBI's taxonomy places the organism in Eukaryota, Metazoa, Chordata, Actinopteri, Cypriniformes, Cyprinidae. The record is from RefSeq and is a predicted model, not a curated record.